ACCCUUUCCCAGCUCAUAUGUGAUGAUUGGAUGUUCACGCCAUGGUGUGAGAUGUGCGUCCCUCAAACCUUGUUAUGAUGCUGGCAUAUUACCCUUCUGACG
Small nucleolar RNA from Talpa occidentalis (Iberian mole), 102 nucleotides. RefSeq annotates it as small nucleolar RNA U13. The transcript has a single exon. The record is from RefSeq and is a predicted model, not a curated record. Lineage: Eukaryota; Metazoa; Chordata; Mammalia; Eulipotyphla; Talpidae.